Molecule: ribosomal RNA, 385 nt
Filed under: Pleoticus muelleri
Lineage: Eukaryota; Metazoa; Arthropoda; Malacostraca; Decapoda; Solenoceridae
Description: partial 16S ribosomal RNA
Rfam family: Bacterial large subunit ribosomal RNA
Source: RNAcentral
UGUGUGCGAAGGGAGCAUAAUCAUUAGUCUUUUAAUUGAAGGCUUGUAUGAAUGGUUGGACAAAAAGUUAACUGUCUCAAUUAUAAAAAUUGAAUUUAACUUUUAAGUGAAAAGGCUUAAAUAUACUGAGGGGACGAUAAGACCCUAUAAAGCUUUACAAUAAAUUAAUUAAAUUAUAAAUUAUAAGUUUAACUUAAUUUAAUUAGUAUUUGUUUCGUUGGGGCGACGAGAAUAUAAUUAUAUAACUGUUCUUUUAUUGUUAUAACAAAUUUAAUUGGGUGAAAAUUGAUCCUUUUAUAAAGAUUAAAAGAUUAAGUUACUUUAGGGAUAACAGCGUAAUCUUCUUUGAGAGUCCAUAUCGACAAGAAGGGUUGCGACCCCGAUG